UUUUUUUUUUUUUUUUUUUCCAGUGGGAAGAGUGUGUGAUUGGGCAGAAACUGUUAUAUCAGUGGAAGGAGACUCACAGAUGAACUGAUUUGAGUGGGGAUUUUUCUGACAGAAUGAUCAAGUGCCGGAAAGAGACUAUAUAAAAGGAUGGGAUGGGGCCAAGAUAUAAGGUAAUAGUGCCAGAGAAAACCUACUUAUUCUAGAAUUUUUUCUUGAAGUCAGUGUUUAACUCAUGCAGAGAACUCGGUAGUGGACUUUAUUUUUCAAGAGUGGAUAAUGAUAAAUGUUAAAAUUAGUGGCAAGGAGAUUUUCACAAAUGGUCAAGAGAUGGCAAUAGAGACAAAAUUGCAAGACAGAUCGAGUUAACUGAUGUCACUGUGGCCUCAAUAUGUGUAAAUAAUGUUGGUUAUAUUGAUAACAUUGGCUUCUAUUUUAAACUGAAAUUUCAAAUAGAAGGUGCUGAAAACACAGAUCUUGGUGAAGAUAGCUGUUUCUUCACAAGCUGUGUAAUCAAAUCACUAAGGAGGAAACUGAUAAACCUAAAUAGCCAUGAUAACAAGGAGAAAAAUUGCUCUUACCCAGUUGUGUGAGCCAUAAACCUAUGAACUUUUGAGAGAUAAAGCAGUUACACACUCCCUUCAGUCCUGCAUGUGGAAUAAUAUAUUCCUAGCAAAAGUGAGAGCACAAUAUGAAUUUGGCAACGUUUAGCUCUUAAAGCGAGUCUAGACUGAUAAAGCCUAACCCAGUUACCAGAGUCCACAGCCUCUACUGUCUUCAUCACUCACAGGGCACAAGACAGAUAUUUUCUUAUAAAACAUAGCUAAUAUGUUGUACAUUUACCAUUGCUACGAACCCUUUUUUCACUUCCCAUAACACCCAGAAGUGUAAUAUGUACUUAACAGCCCUCCAAAUUUUUUGAUUAAUUAAAGAAUUGUUCAUUAAAAUUUACAUUUUAAAGUGAAGUCCCCCAGGAGUUCCCAUUGUGGCUCAGCAGAAAUGAAUCUGACUAGCAUCCAUCAGGACACAGGUUCGAUUUCUGGCCUUGCUCAGUGGGUUAAAGGAUCUGGCAUUGCCAUGAGCUAUGGUGUAGGUCACAGAUGCGGCUUGGAUCUGGCAUUGCUGUGGCUGUGCUGUUGGCCGACAGCUAUAGCUCCUGAUUCAACCCCUAGACUGGGAAUCUCCAUAUGCUGUGAGUGUGGCCCUAAAAAUACAAAAAAAAAAAAAAAAAGAGAAAGAAUAAUUCUCCAAACGUAUUCUAAAUUCAAAAGCCUAAUAUUUUGUAUUAUCCAUUGGUAGAUUCAUAUUGCUAUUUGUCACUCACAACCAAAUAAUCCAAGUUUACAAUUUCAUUUUCCUAAGAUCUGUGUUGAAAAUAACACAAUUUACCAAAAUUAAUUCAGGCUACAAUUAUAUUCUAUUUUAAUUACUGGUUUGCUAUUGCACCACAAUCUAUAUGAAACAGAUGUCAGGACAUAAUGAUCUAACCUGCAUUAAGUAGUUUUUAUUUUUUACCCCCUCUUGAACAAUGACUUUUAUGGGAAACAAAGCUAAAUAGCUAUGAGACUGAUGCAAAAAUUUACACAAUGCACAGCUUUGCAGGAAUGUACUAAUUCGGGACAGAUGCUACAGAGAGAUUGGAAAUAAAAUCUUUUUUUUUUUCUAGAGCAGCACUGCUUGCUCUCAAUUGAGAUGAAGAAGAGAUUUUCUCUUUUUUUGGAGGGAGGGGGUCUUUUUUCCUUUUCUUAGGAUGCUCCCGCGGCAUAUGGAGUUUCCCAGCUCUCCUACAAGUAUAAGCAAAAUCAUUCUGUCUGAUCUACUGGAGAACUAAAACAUGUGCCACAUUGUGUUCAGUAACUGUUUUCCUAAAUGAAUGAUUAAAGGAAUGAGUUCAGGGAGUUCCCGUUAUGGCUCAGCGGGUUACUAAUUGGGCUAGUAUCCAUGAGGAUGUGGGUUCAAUCCCUGGCCUUGCUCAGUGGGUUAAAGAUACGGCUUUGAUGUGAGCUGUGGUGUAGGUCACAGAUGAGGUUUGGAUCUGGUGUUGCUGUGGCUGUGGUGUAGGCCAGCAGCUGCAGCUCCGAUUUAAGCCCUAGCCUGGGAACUUCCAUAUGCUCCAGGUACGGCCCUAAAAAGAAAAAAAGAAAAGGAAUGAGCUCAAAAUCAGUGGCUCAAUCCUAGGCCAUCUGCUCAGAGCACAGGUCAUAAGAAGGGCAACGCCGCUGUCCUUCUCCCUCAUCUCCUUCUAACACAUAUGGUAUUACCAAACUAAGGGAGCUCAAAUACACAGCAAUAAAAACACUUUUUGAGCUUCAUUCAGGUAAAAAUUUUCCUUUCUACAAAAUCUAAAAUGUAACAAAUAUUCGAUAAGGUAAGACUUUUUCAAUUUGUGGAGAACUAAAAUAAUAUCACAUAUUUCUUGUUAUCUCAUAGACACUGAAUUUUGAGAAUAUAAACCAUUUUAUUCAUAAAAAUCACCCAGGGUGGAGUUCCCAUUGUGGUGCAGUGGAAACGAAUCUGACUAGUAUCCACAAGGAUGAGGGGUCUAUCCCUGGCCUCGCUCAGUGGGUUAGGGAUCUGGCAUUGCUGUGAACUGUGGUGUAUGACAUAGACACAGCUCGGAUUCUGCAUUGCUUUGGCUGUGGUAGAGGCUGGCAGCUGUAUCUCCAGUUCAACCCUUAGCCUGGGAAUUUCCAUAUGCUGNAAAAAAAAAAAAAAAAAAAAAAAAAAAAAAAAAA
RNAcentral lists this long non-coding RNA (2732 nucleotides) under Sus scrofa (pig). Its description in RNAcentral is "lncRNA (ENSSSCG00055023672.1)". Lineage: Eukaryota; Metazoa; Chordata; Mammalia; Artiodactyla; Suidae. The record is from RNAcentral.